UCAAUAUUACAUUUUUCUGGUAUUUGACUUCUUGAUGCCUCUCAUAAAGUUUGUACAAUUUUUUUCAUUUGACAACUCUUUUACUUUUGUGGGAUGGCAAUUUCUGAUAAGCCUUGUUUAAUUCAUAAUCUUUUUGUACUUUAUCUAGGGUUUUGUCCACUGAACCACUGGUGGGGAUGGCAGCACCUACCCCUGCACAGAGACCCCGAAUAGACCUGCCCGGACCAUUAUUAGAAGAGUGGACAGCACUGUGCACCUGACCGGAGAAGUUCCUCGUAAAUGUUACAUUGCGAGGCAGAGAUCGUCGCAGGGUUCGAUUAAAGCUCUCGACCUUCUGAGAGUUGCUGUUUUUGAUCGUCUUGGCCAGGACAGCUGGAGACAAUCUUUUUGAGAUACAAGCAUGGAGCAAGUUCUCAUUCUCGGCCGAACAGGAAGCCCAUCCUGAUUGAGGGAAUGCGCCGCUCGGGUCAGUGGUUACCUCCUGUACCUCGAGGCCAGUCUCACUGAGGAGUUCUGCCAUUCCCUCCUUAGCCCAGGUGAACUCAUCCCCUAUGGUGUGAUGCAUUGGAAGGUUUGCCCCACAUACCCCAGGACUACAACAGUGGUCAACAGUGCCCUCAUCAAGGACUUGCGUGAAGGGGGAGGGGUGUUGGUUGAAAGUAGAAUUUUCCUCAACCCAUCAUUUCCUAAAGGGGUUUGACUUAGGCCAACUUGUAAACCGUAGUUUACAGUGGCAGCCUUUCUCCCUGGGGAUUUGGUCUCUACCUCCUCAUACAAAUUGUACAGGCCAGACAGGAACGGACACUCGGAGCAUGUCAUCCUCAUCCGGGUGGCAAGGCCACACCUCUCCUCAGUGUCUAGAUCCCAAGUCAGGAUACCCCGACAGUCUGGACUUCCUUGCUGGUGGAGGCGGAACACCUCGUUAAACAUGGCCACUGUCUUGCCGAGAUGUAGCAGCCUGUGCGAGUCCUGGUUUACCCUAAGAAGAGUCAGAGAACUUCCUGGGCGUAACAAAUGGUGGCACCAUGGCCGCGGGAGCAUUUCCUGUUUUUCUGAAGCUGAAGGAGGGUCCUUCACUAACUGAUCCAUUUCAGGAGGCAGUCUUUCAUAUGGAGCAGUCAAAAAUCAGAUCCAAAUAUCAUCAGAAUUGUCAGAGUCUUUCACUCCUGGUAAUGUCAAUGUCCAUAGAUGGUGCAGCUCAUUCACAUGGUGACAGAUCUCAUGACACAGAAAUUCCAGAACUCAAAUUUCCUACAUGUGCACAGGAUGUUGUCCACUAAGCUAAUGGUGGGGAUCGUAGCAGCUACCCUGCACACAGACAUUGAAUGGAGCUGUCUGGUCCAUUAUCAGAAGAGUGCGUCCGAUCAGAGAAGUUUCUUGAGGAGCAUCACGAGGGACUUGUGUGAAUGGGCAGAAGACAUUUUCUUAACUCACCACUCCAUCAUUGCCUGAUGUUUGAGACUGAACACUUUAUUGAAAAUUGAUGGGAUGUAGCAAUCAAUGGGUGUCAUCAUUUGCCCUGAGAAGACUAAGAGAACUCCCUGGUCCUCAUGAGAUGGUGACACCCUGCAGUAGGAGCAGUUCUUACCGGUAUCUCUUAAAAGAAGACAAAGGUUUUCUUAGCAUCUGAUCCAAUUCUGGAGACAAACUUUUGAAUGGUGCUGGGUAGCAGUUACUCGAGAUGUCUGGCUGAUUGACGAAGAUAAUUGCCCUGCGCCUGACAUUCUUGUAGGACUUGGAUAGCUCUAUCACUGUAAAAAAUGUCAGGACGGUGGAGAUUUAGAUAAGUGGUGUGACAUUAUUGAUGGUAAACAGAAGACUGUGACCUUGAAUCUGAAGACCUGUGAUGAAGACUGGACGUUUGGAGUCACUCUCUGUUACAGUACUACAAAUCUAACAGUGAAACACUCAGCCACAAAGAGGUUGUCUCUGAUGUCCACACAUAAACCCCGUGGAGCGCGUAAAUCACAGUGAAUGUAACGGAGGAACUGUCCGUCCUGAUCUAGGAUGUGGAUACGGUCAUUGUAAUAGUCUGCUGUCAGGAUGUGACUCUGGCUGUCUGUAGUGAUGCCGUGUGGAUUAAAUGAUUGCUUGGUAUUAGAGGGAUGACCAGUGUAUCUAAAUCGGAGUUUUCCUGACUGAUUGACCACCACUACUGCACUAGCUGACCAGUCAGCCACACAGAUAUCCAGGUUCCUGUUCUCACUGAGGUAUUUAGUGUUAUUAUAAACACCAGAUGAGUAGAGAGGACGACCCUGAUCAUCAAACUGAAUGCUUUGUUUCUCUGUGGAGCCGGAGUAACGCACGACUUUGGAUUGUUUUCUAUCAUCACUGAUCAUGAUAACCAGGAGAUCGUUAUCCGCGGUACAGCAGACAUAGAGAGGUUCCCACCCCUGUAGUGUGAUCACGAAUGAGUUGAGUGGGAAAAUGAGCCUCCAGAUGUAUAUGUACAUGUGUAUAUUAUAAUUAAACUUCUGUUGCACUCACGCAUGCGAGGUUACUCUACA
This is a long non-coding RNA of Ostrea edulis (European flat oyster), 2507 nucleotides long. RefSeq lists it as uncharacterized. The transcript has 12 exons. The record is from RefSeq and is a predicted model, not a curated record. Lineage: Eukaryota; Metazoa; Mollusca; Bivalvia; Ostreida; Ostreidae.